RNAcentral lists this ribosomal RNA (1260 nucleotides) under Triticum aestivum (bread wheat). Its description in RNAcentral is "partial small subunit ribosomal RNA". The record is from RNAcentral. Lineage: Eukaryota; Viridiplantae; Streptophyta; Magnoliopsida; Poales; Poaceae.
AUGACCACUAUUCAUACACUUCUUGCCGUUGCCUCUGCACGCCACUGGUCUAUAUCUCAGCUUGAUGUUAAGAAUGCCUUUCUUAAUGGUGAGCUGCGUGAGGAGGUGUACAUGCAGCCACCACCUGGGUAUUCUGUUCCUGAUGGCAUGGUAUGUCGUCUUCGUCGCUCUCUCUAUGGCCUUAAGCAAGCCCCUCGCGCCUGGUUUGAGCGUUUUGCCUCUGUGGUCACUACUGCUGGUUUUUCAGCAAGUGCUCAUGAUCCAGCAUUGUUUAUUCACCUUUCUCCUCGUGGUCGGACUCUUCUUCUUCUCUAUGUUGAUGACAUGAUCAUCACUGGGGAUGACCCCGAGUAUAUUGCCUUUGUAAAAGGCCGUCUUAGUGAGCAGUUUCUUAUGUCUGAUCUUGGACCUCUUCGCUACUUUCUUGGGAUUGAAGUCUCUUCUACCUCUGAUGGCUUUUUUAUAUCCCAGGCAAAGUAUAUCCAGGAUCUUCUUGCUCGUGCUGCUCUUACUGACGAGCGCAUUGUUGAGAAUCCUAUGGAGCUCAAUGUUCACCUCCGUGCUACUGAUGGUGAUCCUCUCCCUGACCCGACGCGUUAUCGUCAUCUCGUUGGCAGUCUUGUCUAUCUAGCUGUCACUCGUCCGGACAUCUCUUAUCCGGUUCAUAUUCUGAGUCAGUUUGUCUCUGCUCCCACAUCGGUUCACUAUAGUCAUCUCCUUCGUGUUCUCCGAUAUCUUCGGGGCACGAUCUCUCACCGUCUAUUCUUUCCUAGCUCCAGUUCUUUACAGCUUCAGGCCUAUUCGGAUGCUACGUGGGCUAGUGAUCCUUCUGAUCGCCGUUCACUUUCUGCUUACUGUGUUUUUCUUGGCGGUUCUCUCAUUGCCUGGAAGACGAAGAAACAGAUUGCAGUUUCCCGUUCGAGUGCUGAGGCUGAGUUGCGAGCCAUGGCUCUUUUGACGGCAGAGGUGACUUGGUUACGGUGGUUACUUCAGGAUUUUGGUGUUUCUGUCACUACACCGACUCUGCUCUUAUCUGACAGUACAGGUGCUAUUAGCAUUGCGCGUGAUCCUGUGAAGCAUGAGCUCACCAAGCAUAUUGGUGUUGAUGCUUUCUAUGUGCGCGCUGGUGUGCAGGAUCAGGUUAUUGCUCUUCAGUAUGUGCCUUCCGAGUUACAGUUGGCGGAUUUCCUGACGAAGGCCCAGACUAGAGCACAACAUGGCUUUUAUCUCUUCAAACUCAGUGUUGUUCCUCCACCAUGA